This is a non-coding RNA of Candidatus Portnoybacteria bacterium RBG_13_40_8, 134 nucleotides long. NCBI's taxonomy places the organism in Bacteria, Candidatus Portnoyibacteriota. The record is from Rfam.
AACAUUAUAAUUAAAUAGCCGUAGACAGUAGGCUGCGAAAGCAUAAAUCCUAUCGAGGCAAAAAGUUCAUGAGCAAUUGAGCUUGUGAGUUUAUGAGAAUGUCUGCGGCUUAACGCAGAUUUUUAUUUAUGUUA